UGGGGAAUAUUGCACAAUGGGCGCAAGCCUGAUGCAGCAACGCCGCGUGAGGGACGACGGCCUUCGGGUUGUAAACCUCUUUUAGUAGGGAAGAAGCGAAAGUGACGGUACCUGCAGAAAAAGCACCGGCUAACUACGUGCCAGCAGCCGCGGUAAUACGUAGGGUGCGAGCGUUGUCCGGAAUUAUUGGGCGUAAAGAGCUCGUAGGCGGUCUGUCGCGUCUGCUGUGAAAACCCGAGGCUCAACCUCGGGCCCUGCAGUGGGUACGGGCAGACUAGAGUGCGGUAGGGGAGAAUGGAAUUCCUGGUGUAGCGGUGGAAUGCGCAGAUAUCAGGAGGAACACCGAUGGCGAAGGCAGUUCUCUGGGCCGUAACUGACGCUGAGGAGCGAAAGCGUGGGGAGCGAACAGGAUUAGAUACCCUGGUAGUCCACGCCGUAAACGUUGGGCGCUAGAUGUGGGGACCAUUCCACGGUUUCCGUGUCGCAGCUAACGCAUUAAGCGCCCCGCCUGGGGAGUACGGCCGCAAGGC
This 530-nucleotide ribosomal RNA is filed under the name uncultured bacterium. Its description in RNAcentral is "partial 16S ribosomal RNA". It matches the Rfam family "Bacterial small subunit ribosomal RNA", at positions 355 to 894 of the family's 1533-position model. The record is from RNAcentral.